GCAGCGGAGCAUGUGGUUUAAUUCGAAGCAACGCGAAGAACCUUACCUAGACUUGACAUCUCCUGAAUUACCCGUAACUGGGGAAGCUCUUCGGAGCAGGAAGACAGGUGGUGCAUGGUUGUCGUCAGCUCGUGUCGUGAGAUGUUGGGUUAAGUCCCGCAACGAGCGCAACCCUUAUCGUUAGUUGCUACCAUUAAGUUGAGCACUCUAGCGAGACUGCCCGGGUUAACCGGGAGGAAGGUGGGGAUGACGUCAAAUCAUCAUGCCCCUUAUGUCUAGGGCUACACACGUGCUACAAUGGUGAGGACAAAGAGACGCAAGACCGCGGGGUGGAGCAAAUCUCACAAACCUCAUCCCAGUUCGGAUUGCAGGCUGAAACUCGCCUGCAUGAAGCCGGAGUUGCUAGUAAUCGCGAAUCAGCCAUGUCGACGGUGAAUACGUUCCCGGGCCGUU
RNAcentral lists this ribosomal RNA (453 nucleotides) under uncultured Clostridium sp. Its description in RNAcentral is "bacterial SSU rRNA". It matches the Rfam family "Bacterial small subunit ribosomal RNA", at positions 929 to 1382 of the family's 1533-position model. Lineage: Bacteria; Bacillati; Bacillota; Clostridia; Eubacteriales; Clostridiaceae. The record is from RNAcentral.